This 274-nucleotide ribosomal RNA is filed under the name uncultured bacterium. Its description in RNAcentral is "partial 16S ribosomal RNA". It matches the Rfam family "Bacterial small subunit ribosomal RNA", at positions 523 to 796 of the family's 1533-position model. The record is from RNAcentral.
AUACGAAGGGGGCUAGCGUUGUUCGGAAUUACUGGGCGUAAAGCGCGCGUAGGCGGAUUGGUCAGUUAGGGGUGAAAUCCCAGGGCUUAACCCUGGAACUGCCUCUAAUACUGCCAGUCUUGAGUUCGGGAGAGGUGAGUGGAAUUCCUAGUGUAGAGGUGAAAUUCGUAGAUAUUAGGAAGAACACCAGUGGCGAAGGCGGCUCACUGGCCCGAUACUGACGCUGAGGCGCGAAAGCGUGGGGAGCAAACAGGAUUAGAUACCCCUGUAGUCC